RNAcentral lists this ribosomal RNA (406 nucleotides) under uncultured bacterium. RNAcentral's name for it is "partial 16S ribosomal RNA". It matches the Rfam family "Bacterial small subunit ribosomal RNA", at positions 30 to 526 of the family's 1533-position model. The record is from RNAcentral.
AUUGCACGCUGGCGGCAGGCUUAAAACAUGCAAGUCGAACGAGUGGCGGAAGGGUGAGUAAUGCUUGGGAAACUAGCUAAUGGAGGGGGAUAACUAAGGGAAACUGUAGCUAAUACCGCGUACCAUCGGAUGUACCCAAAUGAGAUUAGCUAGUAGGUGGGGUAAAGGCUCAACUCGGCGACGAUCUCUAGCGGGUCUGAGAGGAUGAUCAGCCACACGGGGACUGAGACACGUCCCAGACUCCUACGUGAGGCAGCAGUUGGGAAUAUUGCGCAAUGGGUGCAACCCUGAUGCAGCCAUGCCGCGUGAAUGAAGAAGGCCUUCGGGUGGUAAAGGUCUUUCGGUAGCGAGGCGUUAACUACAGAAGAAGCACCGGCUAACUCCGUGCCAGCAGCCGCGGUAAUAC